RNAcentral lists this long non-coding RNA (587 nucleotides) under Homo sapiens (human). RNAcentral describes it as "HSALNT0395674". The record is from RNAcentral. Lineage: Eukaryota; Metazoa; Chordata; Mammalia; Primates; Hominidae.
UCACAAUCAGCUAGGCUCUGAAGACAAAUCCGAGUUCAGGCUGUGGAUUGGCUGAUCCCUCAUGAAUAUGUAGAUUACUCUCACCCUUCACCUCGCUCUGGAAAAACCAGCCACCAUGUUGUAAGGAUGCUCAAGUAGCACUAUGGAGAUUCACACGUGGCAAAGAGCUGAGGCCUCCCACCAACAGCCACAUGAGGGAGCCAGAGUAGGAGUGGCUCCUCCAGCCCCAGUCGAACCUUCAGAUGUGACAGACUUGGCUGCUGACAGUUUGCAAUCUCAUGAGACCCUGAGCCAGAACCACCCAGCUAAAUCAGUCCUGGACUCCUGAUCAACAGAAAUGGUACCAAAGAGAGGCGUUUUGAACAUUAAGACGCUUUGCUGCUUCUCACCUGAAACACGUAACAGGAACACCAACCUCUUCAGCCGCGGGAAAUCUUCUUUGACACAAAACUCAAACCGAGUCAACCCAAAGUUCCAAGUUCUUUGCUUUCUCUUCUGUGUGUGUGUUGGUUUGUCCCAAAAGUCAGUUUGCAAGUUGAAACUUCAUGAAAUUACUCGUAGCAGAAAUAAAGUACAUUGUACAAAUC